This 253-nucleotide ribosomal RNA is filed under the name uncultured bacterium. RNAcentral's name for it is "partial 16S ribosomal RNA". It matches the Rfam family "Bacterial small subunit ribosomal RNA", at positions 524 to 776 of the family's 1533-position model. The record is from RNAcentral.
UACGGGGGGUGCAAACGUUGCUCGGAAUUAUUGGGCGUAAAGCGCACGUAGGCGGUCUUGUAAGUCGGGUGUGAAAGCCCGGGGCUUAACCCCGGAAGUGCACUCGAAACUGCAAGGCUUGAGUAUGGAAGAGGGUCUCGGAAUUCCCGGUGUAGAGGUGAAAUUCGUAGAUAUCGGGAGGAACACCGGUGGCGAAGGCGGCGACCUGGGUUGACAUUGACGCUGAGGCGCGAAAGCGUGGGGAGCAAACAGG